UCAAUGGCCUAACGGCUGAACCAGCAAUUUGAACGAAUGUCCCGUUUUUAACAGGUUAAAAGACAAAAGCUAAUUACAGUUUUUGGCGGUUUACCCGCUUAAAGUUCUGAUAGGAUACUGAUAAUGACAAUAUUCUAUAUAAGUCUUGACUAAAUCACGUGCCAGCAGUCGCGGUAAUACGGGAAAGACGAGUGUUAUUCAUCUUUAUUAGGUUUAAAGGGUACCUAGACAGUAUAUUUUGCUAUGAUAAGAACAUUUAUGCUAGAGUUUUAUGUGAUAGGGAUUUAGUACUACCAGAGGAGAGAUAAAAUUUGGUGAUACUGUUGGGCACUUAUAACGGCGAAGGCAGACCUAUAUGUAAAAACUGACGUUGAGGGACGAAGGCUUGGGUAACAAACAGGAUUAGAUACCCUAAUAGUCCUGGCAGAAAAUGAUGAGUGCCAUAGGUUAGAUAAAUUUUGAUCUAUAAAUGAAAGUGUAAGCAUUCCACCUCAAGAGUAAUGUGGCAACGCAGGAACUGAAAUCAUUAGACCGUGUUUGAAACCAGUAGUGAAGUAUGUUAUUUAAUUCGAUGGUCCGCGAAAAACCUUACCACAGAUUGUAUAUUUUUAACUAACUAAAACAAAAUAGUUUUAUCUGGUAUCUUUAUAUAAAGAAAUGUUUUUUUUUACAGGUGCUGCAUGGCUGUCUUAAGUUAAUGUCGUGAGACUAUGGUUAGUUCCAUUUAAUUAACGUAAACCCUCUUCACACUUUAGGUGUGAUGGUUCUCCGGGAUAUCGGAAAGAUAAAA
RNAcentral lists this small RNA (790 nucleotides) under Arthonia parietinaria. RNAcentral describes it as "SSU rRNA". It matches the Rfam family "Bacterial small subunit ribosomal RNA", at positions 368 to 1175 of the family's 1533-position model. Lineage: Eukaryota; Fungi; Ascomycota; Arthoniomycetes; Arthoniales; Arthoniaceae. The record is from RNAcentral.